This 378-nucleotide ribosomal RNA is filed under the name Enterococcus faecalis. RNAcentral describes it as "bacterial SSU rRNA". It matches the Rfam family "Bacterial small subunit ribosomal RNA", at positions 1 to 356 of the family's 1533-position model. Lineage: Bacteria; Bacillati; Bacillota; Bacilli; Lactobacillales; Enterococcaceae. The record is from RNAcentral.
UUAUUAUGAGAGUUUGAUCCUGGCUCAGGACGAACGCUGGCGGCGUGCCUAAUACAUGCAAGUCGAACGCUUCUUUCCUCCCGAGUGCUUGCACUCAAUUGGAAAGAGGAGUGGCGGACGGGUGAGUAACACGUGGGUAACCUACCCAUCAGAGGGGGAUAACACUUGGAAACAGGUGCUAAUACCGCAUAACAGUUUAUGCCGCAUGGCAUAAGAGUGAAAGGCGCUUUCGGGUGUCGCUGAUGGAUGGACCCGCGGUGCAUUAGCUAGUUGGUGAGGUAACGGCUCACCAAGGCCACGAUGCAUAGCCGACCUGAGAGGGUGAUCGGCCACACUGGGACUGAGACACGGCCCAGACUCCUACGGGAGGCAGCAGUA